RNAcentral lists this ribosomal RNA (459 nucleotides) under uncultured bacterium. RNAcentral describes it as "partial 16S ribosomal RNA". It matches the Rfam family "Bacterial small subunit ribosomal RNA", at positions 338 to 795 of the family's 1533-position model. The record is from RNAcentral.
CCUACGGGAGGCAGCAGUGAGGAAUAUUGGUCAAUGGGCGCGAGCCUGAACCAGCCAAGUCGCGUGAGGGAAGACGGUCCUAUGGAUUGUAAACCUCUUUUGUCGGGGAGCAAAAGACGCCACGCGUGGCGUUCCGAGAGUACCCGAAGAAAAAGCAUCGGCUAACUCCGUGCCAGCAGCCGCGGUCAUACGGGGGAUGCGCGCGUUAUCCGGGUUUCUUGGGUUAAAAGGGUGCGCAGGCGGAAGAUCAAGUCAGCGGUAAAAUUGAGAGGCUCAACCUCUUCGAGCCGUUGAAACUGGUUGUCUUGAGUGAGCGAGAAGUAUGCGGAAUGCGUGGUGUAGCGGUGAAAUGCAUAGAUAUCACGCAGAACUCCGAUUGCGAAGGCAGCAUACCGGCGCUCAACUGACGCUCAUGCACGAAAGUGUGGGUAGCGAACAGGAUUAGAUACCCUGGUAGUC